UACGUAGGGGGCAAGCGUUGUCCGGAUUUAUUGGGCGUAAAGAGCGUGUAGGCGGCCUGACAGGUCUGCUGUGAAAACUCGAGGCUCAACCUCGAGAUGUCGGCGGAAACCGUCUGGCUAGAGUCCGGAAGAGGAGAGUGGAAUUCCUGGUGUAGCGGUGAAAUGCGCAGAUAUCAGGAAGAACACCUAUGGCGAAGGCAGCUCUCUGGGACGGUACUGACGCUGAGGCGCGAAAGCGUGGGGAUCAAACAGG
Molecule: ribosomal RNA, 253 nt
Filed under: uncultured bacterium
Lineage: Bacteria
Description: partial 16S ribosomal RNA
Rfam family: Bacterial small subunit ribosomal RNA
Source: RNAcentral